AUCAACUUUCGAUGGUAGGAUAGAGGCCUACCAUGGUGGUAACGGGUAACGGGGUGUUAGGGCACGACACCGGAGAGGGAGCCUGAGAAACGGCUACCACAUCCAAGGAUGGCAGCAGGCGCGCAAAUUACCCAAUCCCGACACGGGGAGGUAGUGACAAUAAAUAACAAUACAGGGUUCUUUGAAUCUCGUAAUUGGAAUGAGUACAAUUUAAAUCUCUUAACGAGGAACAAUUGGAGGGCAAGUCUGGUGCCAGCAGCCGCGGUAAUUCCAGCUCCAAUAGCGUAUAUUAAAGUUGUUGCAGUUAAAAAGCUCGUAGUUGAAUUUCGGGGUUUAUCCGUUGGUCGGGCUUUUUGGUCUGUACUGGCGUGAUGGAUUCCUACCUUCUGAAUAACCGGCAUGCCAUUAAUUUGGUGCGCCGGGGAAGCAGGACUGUUACCUUGAAAAAAUUAGAGUGCUUAAAGCAGGCUUAUGCCUGAAUACAUUAGCAUGGAAUAAUGAAAUAGGACGCAUGGUUCUAUUUUGUUGGUUUCUAGGAUCACCGUAAUGAUUAAUAGGGAUAGUUGGGGGCAUUAGUAUUCAAUUGUCAGAGGUGAAAUUCUUGGAUUUAUUGAAGACUAACUUCUGCGAAAGCAUUUGCCAAGGAUGUUUUCAUUAAUCAAGAACGAAAGUUAGGGGAUCGAAGACGAUCAGAUACCGUCGUAGUCUUAACCAUAAACUAUGCCGACUAGGGAUCGGAUGAUGUUAAUUUUUUAAUGACUCAUUCGGCGCCUUACGGGAAACCAAAGUGUUUGGGUUC
RNAcentral lists this ribosomal RNA (799 nucleotides) under uncultured Glomeromycotina. RNAcentral's name for it is "SSU rRNA". It matches the Rfam family "Eukaryotic small subunit ribosomal RNA", at positions 314 to 1114 of the family's 1831-position model. Lineage: Eukaryota; Fungi; Glomeromycota. The record is from RNAcentral.